ACGCUCGACACCUACGGGGGGCAGCAGUGGGGAAUAUUGCACAAUGGGGGAAACCCUGAUGCAGCGACGCCGCGUGAGUGAAGAAGUAUUUCGGUAUGUAAAGCUCUAUCAGCAGGGAAGAAGAUGACGGUACCUGAGUAAGAAGCCCCGGCUAACUACGUGCCAGUAGCCGCGGUAAUCUGAGCGGGCUGGCAAGGC
RNAcentral lists this ribosomal RNA (198 nucleotides) under uncultured bacterium. RNAcentral describes it as "partial 16S ribosomal RNA". It matches the Rfam family "Bacterial small subunit ribosomal RNA", at positions 328 to 539 of the family's 1533-position model. The record is from RNAcentral.